GAUGAAGAACGCAGCGAAAUGCGAUAAGUAGUGUGAAUUGCAGAAUUCCGUGAAUCAUCGAAUCUUUGAACGCACAUUGCGCCCCUUGGUAUUCCAUGGGGCAUGCCUGUUCGAGCGUCAUUUGUACCUUCAAGCUCUGCUUGGUGUUGGGUGUUUGUCUCGCCUCUGCGCGCAGACUCGCCUCAAAACGAUUGGCAGCCGGCGUAUUGAUUUCGGAGCGCAGUACAUCUCGCGCUUUGACAACAAAACGACGACGUCCAAAAAGUACAUUUUUUACACUCUUGACCUCGGAUCAGGUAGGGAUACCCGCUGAACUUAAGCAUAUCAAUAAGCGGAGGA
Molecule: unclassified non-coding RNA, 339 nt
Filed under: soil metagenome
Description: partial contains 5.8S ribosomal RNA, internal transcribed spacer 2, and large subunit ribosomal RNA
Rfam family: 5.8S ribosomal RNA (bases 1-120)
Source: RNAcentral